RNAcentral lists this transfer RNA (73 nucleotides) under Stegodyphus mimosarum. It matches the Rfam family "tRNA". From Rfam's summary of the family: Transfer RNA (tRNA) molecules are approximately 80 nucleotides in length. Their secondary structure includes four short double-helical elements and three loops (D, anti-codon, and T loops). The record is from Rfam by way of RNAcentral. Lineage: Eukaryota; Metazoa; Arthropoda; Arachnida; Araneae; Eresidae.
GCCUUCGGGGUGUAACUGAAAGCAUACUCGACGGGUAUUCGAGAGGUUCAGGGUUCGAAUCCCGGUGAGGGCU